UAAAGGGUGAUUUUUUAAGAGCUUGAUAACUUUUUUAAAAAAAAAACGCAUAAAAUUUGCAAAAUCUCAUCGGUUCUUUAUUUGAAACGUUAGAUUGGUUCAUGACAUUUACUUUUUGAAGAUAAUUUCAUUUAAAUGUUGACCGCGGCUGCGUCUUAGAUGGUCCAUUCGGAAAGUCCAAUUUUGGGCAACUUUUUCGAGCAUUUCGGCCGGAAUAGCCCGAAUUUCUUCGGAAAUGUUGUCUUCCAAAGCUGGAAUAGUUGCUGGCUUAUUUCUGUAGACUUUAGACUUGACGUAGCCCCACAAAAAAUAGUCUAAAGGCGUUAAAUCGCAUGAUCUUGGUGGCCAACUUACGGGUCCAUUUCUUGAGAUGAAUUGUUGUCCGAAGUUUUCCCUCAAAAUGGCCAUAGAAUCGCGAGCUGUGUGGCAUGUAGUGCCAUCUUGUUGAAACCACAUGUCAACCAAGUUCAGUUCUUCCAUUUUUGGCAACAAAAAGUUUGUUAGCAUCGAACGAUAGCGAUCGCCAUUCACCGUAACGUUGCGUCCAACAGCAUCUUUGAAAAAAUACGGUCCAAUGAUUCCACCAGCGUACAAACCACACCAAACAGUGCAUUUUUCGGGAUGCAUGGGCAGUUCUUGAACGGCUUCUGGUUGCUCUUCACCCCAAAUGCGGCAAUUUUGCUUAUUUACGUAGCCAUUCAACCAGAAAUGAGCCUCAUCGCUGAACAAAAUUUGUCGAUAAAAAAGCGGAUUUUCACAUUUCGAACCGAACACUGAUUUUGGUAAUAAAAUUCAAUGAUUUGCAAGCGUUGCUCGUUAGUAAGUCUAUUCAUGAUGAAAUGUCAAAGCAUACUGAGCAUCUUUCUCUUUGACACCAUGUCUGAAAUCCCACGUGAUCUGUCAAAUACUAAUGCAUGAAAAUCCUAACCUCAAAAAAAUCACCCGUUAUAUAUAAUUUGAAGCCAUGUAUAUACUUAACCCGAUAAUUAUUAUUGUGGUUAGCAAUAAAAAUUUAUUUGUGAUGGAAUUAUUAAUUUGUUUAAUUUCUGAAUAUUGUCAAAGUGAUAUUUUGAUUGUGAUUCUAAAAUUUUUAAUUUUUAAUUCUUAUUUAUUAUUUAUUUUUCUUAAAUUCUUUUACCUCUUAUGAUAAUAUUCGGAAUCAAUUUCUACAGAUACAUUGAACUAUGUAGGUUAAUUCCUUUUAUGCUUUCGUUAUUUACUUUAUGCGUUCCGUCGAUUAUAAUGUUACCAUGACUUAAAUCUAUUACAGGAUAGUUCUUUUCUUGGAUUAUGUUACAAUGUGCUUCCUUGUUUAGUAAUAUUGUGUUUACACAUUUAUUUGCUUCAAUUGUUUUUACAGUUUCGUACAGGAGUAUAAUUAUUGUUACAUACAUAUAGUGACUAAGUUGUCAAAUUGUAAUAUACCUUGUUUAUACUAACACCUUUAGUUUGAAAGUUUGGCAUACAUUUUUUUGAGAUUGGAUAUUUAUAUAUAAUAUUACAAUAACGGUGUCUUGUAUUCUUAGUACGUGAAUUCUUGCAUAUUUUAAAACAUUAAUAAUUUUGUUGCAAAACAUAAAUUUCAAUUUUUUGCAAAAUUUAUUGUAGUAGUUAAGUCUAAUAAUUCUCUAUAGAAUUGGAGGAGUGUUUGAUAUUUCAUUCUUUUAAUGUUAAACCUCUGUAUUAGGGUUUCAAAGUUUGCAUUUAUAUUUCUUCGUAUAUCGUAGGUUUAGUCCUAUGAUUAAUUGAGUUUUCAUUGUUGCGAAGGUUAUCCUUGUGUACGGUCCUCCCCUCGGUUGUUAAGAUCGUGUCCUCACGAUUUUCUUUAACCCGAGUUAUUUCUAAUAUUGUGGAAUUCAACUGUUCAACUAGAGCGUUUGAUGUCGAAUGGCUGGGCGUAGUCAUUGUGUGUUGUAUAUGUAAUUUUUAUUAUAAUGCUCGUGGCGCGAUGCUUUUAAGAUAUUCAUUAUCAGUCAUGCGUUGUGAGCAGAAUGAGUAUAUUUCAGUGAGAACUUCUUCUAGAGUUCUAUGGAAUUGUUUUCUAGUUUUCUAAUACACGCAUAUUUUGAAUAUCAAUCUAUGCUUGUUGAUUAUGUGGUAUUGUUAAUGUGAAAUAUGUCCAUUUUUAUGGAUGUACCAAUGCCUUUUGGUAUUGGGGUUUUUCCAUAUACUUGUUUUGUUGGGAGACGGUCAUAUUUAUUUUCUUUGCAUAUGACACAUAUUUUUGCGAGUUUCUUGGUUUCUUCUCUCAGAGUAUUUUUUUAUGAGCUUCUAUGUGCUCUUUCGUGAGUAUGCUUCAUUAUUUCAUCUCGUUCUUUCUCUACUUUUUUUUCGCUGAGUCAAAUGUAAUAUAAUGUCGUGUACUCGUAUUUCGUAAAAAGUUUCUAGUUGCGUGUGGAAAGCUGCUGUGAUAUUUGGAUUUAUUACUUUUUCAACGUUCCAAUUAAAUCAUUUUGUGUUGUGAAAUGGACGAUGAACCUUUCGUAUUUUGGAAAUACCGUGGUUUGUAUUAAUUGCGUUUCGCUUAAUUUUAUUAUAAUUAUUUUAUUUUUAAAUUGAUUUAUAGGAGCGGCUACUUUCUUUAUUCUUACUGGAGCUGAGGUUUCUGUAAAGUGUAUGGACUUGUUGGUUGUUACAAAGACCUGUCAGCUAUGUGCGUCUGCUAUUACAUUUGGAGAACCUGCUUUAUAUUUUAAUUUGGCUCCAUAUUCUUCUAUCUGAUUUUUCCAUCUCUUUAGUGGUGAUCAGUGUAAAUUGUUAAAUUCGUUAUACCAAACAAGCAGUUUCUAAGUUUACGCAGUGACCAUACAAUCGCGAACAUUUCUCACUCAUUCGUGGAGUAAUUUUGUUCGGUUUGUGUCAAUGUGCGUGAUAUGAAUGCAAUUGGGUUUCUUGCCUGGGCUAAUACAGCUCCUAUUGCAUAAUUGCUUGCGUCAGUCGUGAGUUCGAAUUCUUUCUCAAAGUCUGGCAGAUAUAUGUAAUUUUAUUUGCUCUUUGUUUUGAAAUGAAAACAAAGUUAACAUUUCAUUUUGUUUUUUCAAUGUAACGCAACUUGAUAAAUAAAACUUUUUGGUUUCUGUUCCGGUGUACAGAAAAGAUGGUUUUCUAACUCGUGAGCACGCUACGUAUAUCUGGCUGUGUGAAAAACAUAGCAUUUAUGCCACACACUAUGAAACUAUCCUUGUGUACUGUUGAUUGUCAUUUCAAAUGCAAUUUUCACUGGAAACGGAAUACGUUGGAACUGAAAUGGUAAAUCGUGAGAACUCAAAUGAAUUCGUAGAAUCAAGCAUUCUGCCCCCUUGUAUUCGAUAGGUGCGUCACAAUCAGUCGGGUUCCAUUACACGGUUUCGUUGCAUGAAGACUGCGAAACAUAUAACGACUGAUCUAACUUUGAGACGCAAAUGAUGCGGUGGCAUACCAAGCCUCUCCAAAGAAUUUAGAAAUUCCACUGGAUAAUUCACGGCGUCGUCUUCAUUGUCAAGACAAUCGAUCGAUUUGUAUGAGCGCAAUUCUCUCGUAGUUACGAUAAUUUGUCUAAUGUCCGAACAUUCGUGAUGAGUUCAUCUUUCGUUAAUUGAUAAACGGCAGAUGGAAUCGAUAUCAAACCACCGGAAGAAUCGACCGGAAUUUCCCCAUUUCCAAUUCUUAGCGAAUUUUGCAUAAUUUAUGCGGAUUUGAAGGCUGAUAUGUCGAAAUGAUUAUCGCGAAAAGUGUGCGAACUUCAUUUGCACUCCAGUGAUUAUCAUUUUCAAAAAGUUGCACACACCGUAUCAUUCACAGUACGCAAUGACUCAAAUGAAGCUGAACCGCGUACAUUUAUCAAUAACAACCGAAGGUAGAAACUAUCGUUGUUUUUCGGGUGGAUUGUGUAAAUUCGUCCUAAUGCAUUAGUUGAGAACACACCUGGAUGUCCAUCUACUAGUUUCUUCGACGAUGCAUUCCACGUAUAAUAUCAAGGUAUUUCCGAAUGUCCUCGCAAACGGAUCACUGACGAAAGUUGAGCAAAAACUCGUAAAUGUUAAUUUUGUUGCUGGCGGUGUUUUCACUGGCUGUACUGUAUUCUCUGGAUUGAAAUACACUCUUUGACCAUUCUCCAAAUUAACUGCGAGACGCACAACAGUCGGAAAACGUUCAAGAAUUGCAAAACGAAAUAUCCUACAAGGCGCUUUAGUUGGUGACUUUCUUUUGGUGAGGUACUUACAAACGUAUUUUAUCGAUUAUACCAAACUGCAAUACUCAACAUUGAUAUGAGUUUUGAAUGUGAGUUAGACAAUAAUGGUGAAUAUAGACGAUCCAUGUGUUGUCAACUUCGAUAUUCACUCUUCUAAAUUGGAUGCUGAAUGCUCUGUCAUUGUCAUUUGGCGAGUAACACCGAUAGAGUGGAUAUCAAUUAUUUUUAGUUUGUGUUUCCGAAAGAAAAACACUUGGAUACUGUUUCGUGCAUUUAUUGUGAGACAUACAAACCGAAGUGGGAUUGUGGUGUCCGCAAGGUCCAUGCACCCUAUUGGUUUUUAUCACUUCUUUCUUUGCAUCAGGAAUUUCCGCAUGAUUGAAUGAUUUCAUCAAUUUGAUCUGGUGUAACCACCAUCCACAAUCCAAAGAAGAAUGUGUGCGUGCGGCAAACCUUUCUUUUGCCACUCAACAGAGUACAUCUAGCAUCUAACAGCACCAUAUAUACGUAUGUACGUUGCUUCAAGAUAAAGUCCAUCGAAGCUGUUGCUUGAAAAGUCGCGCUGUGACAUCGUGACGAUCGCUUGCUGAUUGACCGCGAUCCAUAAUACUGCACAUAUGCAUUCUGGGAGUACUCGGUCAUGUGCCUUGGGCUGCUAAUGUAUGUUGAUGCCAAAAAGAACGCCGACCGAUAUUAGGGCGACCUCUUCGUGGCAUCGUAACAAAUACAUACAUAACAUUUUCACUGAAUAAUUUUCAAACAUUUUUGAAGCAAACGACAAAUUUGAACGAUUCAAAUAAUUGAAAAACGAAACAAAAAAAAUUGAAAAAAAAAAAUUUGUAUGGAAAAAAAUUAACUUUUUGGAAUAAUCCAAUUUUCCGACUUUUCCUCACGAAAAGCAUACCGGUUUUUUAUUUCUAAAUUAACACAGAACAUUCUCUGACAAUUUCAUCAAGAUUGGUUCAGUCGUUCCCUUAGCGUUACUAAUAAACAAACAUUCAUUCAUUUGUAUGGGAAAAAGAAAAGGGAUGUUUUUAGGGGUUUUCCCGCAACUAUUCGAAUUUUUCUUGCCGUAAAAACCAUCCUUGAGCCUCAACGAACAUUUUAAAAAAAGAAUUGGCAAAAUUAGUCCACGCUUUUUUGAGUUAUGCGCUUACCAACACAUUUUGCGAUUAAUUUUUAUAUAUAAGAUGUUCGAGCUUUUGUUUUUUGAUAUAUUCCCAUUCUCACCUCGCAAAAAUAUUGUGAGUGGUUUUGUUAUUUGGCCGAAAUUUUUGAUAAAUGCCCAAGAAUGAUCGAAGUUCUUUUAGGUUUUCAGGGGUUUUGUACCUAUCUAUGGCUUCGAUUCUUUUGGAGUCUACUGUAAUCGUACCGUUUUGAAUAAUGUGCCCUAGGAAUUCUGUUUGUCUCUGAAAAAUGUGAAUUUUCGUCUGAAACUUUCAUAUUGGCUUUAUGUAAAGUUUGUAUGAUAUUGGUAAUGUCUUUCAUAUGUAUGUUGUUACGGUGUAGCUGAAUAUAUUAGGACAUCAUCAGUAUAUACAUAUGCAUAUUUGGCAAUGUAAGGCCUGAGUAUGUCAUCAACAUAUCUUUGGAAGAUUGAGGGGGCGCACAUUGGGAUAUCUGUGGCCGAAAUUCAAAAAUUUCAUGUUGUCUGAUUUGAAUGAAAAUUUCACAGUUUGUUACCAACUAUCUAUACAUUAUUUUCCCAAAGUAUUAGGAUUCUAUCUGCAUUAGUUUUUUGUCCAGAAAUACCCAAAGUUGGUGAAUGUAGAAAACAUCAAAAUUAGCAAAAAAUUUACUCAAAAGUCAAAUCAUUGAUACAAUAAAACAACUAUUGAAAUUCAACUUUGUUAUUAUUUUUCAUUUAUAAUAUGUAUCAAAGAAAAAAUUUGCAUCAAAAUCCAUUGAAAAAAAUAAUGCAUAAAAAAUUUUGUGGAACAACAUAAUUUGGACGUCAAAAUUUCAAUGUUCUUCAAAUUCAAAGUGGUGCAUCUUUUUAGCGCUGUCUACCGCUGUCGACAUACAUAUACCGAAUUAAAGCCUGAAGUCUCAGCUAAACGAUAAAAAAAAUUCAGCUGCCCCAAAUUGCCCCCCUUGAAAAAAACAAUGUCAGAAUGUCACGAAGAUGUAAGAAAUUUGCUAAAAGAGACUUAAUAAAAGAGAAUUUAGUUGUAUGGGAGGUGGGCGUAAAAGUGGGCGGAUAUUAUUGAAAUUUAACACCAACAUAUAUAAAGUCAUAAAAAUGCUAUGUACCAAAAAUCAGUGCUGUAGGUCAAAAAUUAAGUUUCACCUUAUAUGGGAGGUGGGCGUAAAAUAAAAUUUUUUAAAAAAAUUUUUUAAUUUUUUUCUUGAUUGGAAUCCAAAACAAUGAUGUACCAAAUGUCAUUAUCCUGCGACAACUCCUUAUAUUUUUAGCCGCAGUAUGCACUAGCAGAAACCUAUGUGGGGCGUUCUUUAGUCCGAAUAGUAAACGAAGGAAUUCGUAUUUCGCACUAUUUAUUGAGAAGGCUGUUGUUUUUCCCUGUCUUGUUCCUCGAUCAUGAUUUGGUGAAUUCCUGAUUCUAAAUCGAAAACGGUGAAAUAAUUAGCGUUACCUAAAUUCAGUAGCAUCAUUGUUAUGUCUGGGAUAGGAUAUCUAUCUGAGAUGGUUACUUUAUUUAAUUUUUGAAAGUCUAUUACCAUCCUUCUUUUUGCUUUCCCUUUAUCGUAUGUACCUUUUUUUGAUACUGUCCAUAUAGGCGAAUUAUAUUUACUUGGUUGGAUUAUUUUAUUUUUCAAUAAUUUAUUUAUUUCUUCUUCUACAAAUCCUCUAUCUGUCUGUGUACAGGGAUAUUGUAUUACCCAGUUUCAACCGUAGUUUGUAUGGUAGUAAUUCAUUGUUAUGAUUCUCUUGCAUUCAAAUUUUUAUCUCUUCUUCAUAUUUUUGUUCUCCUAAGUGUAGUUUAGGUUAACUGAAUCUGUAAUUUUGGAGAAACUAAUGGAGUAAUCGAAAAUAGUUAUGAUAGCUGUCAUUUAUUUUAAGCCUUUAAUGCCUAUAACAAAAUCACAAUCUUUGAGUUUAUCUAACUUCAUGAAUUCCUUAUCGAAUCCUAAUAAAUUCACUUCUCUUUUUUGGGUUAUUACUGAAUUCCCAUGCAUUGUUUUUGUUAAUUGUUUCAACUUAAUUCUUUCAGCAUACGGAUAAUUUAUACUCACAUAAUUUUCUUCUGAACCGGUAUCUAUUUGUAAAAAAACUGGAUUACCAUCCGGAGAUAUUCUUUGUAAUCUGUGCAAUCCAUUCCUCUUUAUAAAAGAUAUUUGAUUAUUGUAUUCACUUGAAGUAGGGAAUCGUUGAUUUGAUUUAGUUUCCAAUCCUUUAGUCGUUGUUAAUUGAAUGAUUCUUCUUGAUCUCUCUUCCUAAAGUGGUUAAUUGGAUUUCGGAAAGAAUUAAAGCUUGUUGAUGCUGUGGUUGUUGGGGAACAUCCUGUUGCACUGGUUGAUGUUGAGUAGGUGGUCUAUAUUGAGCGGACGAAUUUACUUCCAUUGGUUCUACGGGUUGCAUCCUGCUGGGCUGAUUCUGUGAGGUUUGCUGCAUAUAUGGUACAUAUUUUAUAGCGAUGCUUCUUAAUCCUGAUAUAAAUGUGCGCACUGCUUUGAAUUGUACUUCAGUUGUUAUGCCUCGGGAUACUUUCUCGUUUUUAUGGGUCAUUUCUAUUUGCGAUAGAAUCAAAUUUAUGGCUCAACCGGGGGGAGCAGAGGAAGGGGAAGACCUUCACUCCGUUGGAAGGACCAAGUGGACAAGGACCUGGCUUCGCUUGGGAUAUCCAAUUGGCACGUAGCGAAAAGAAGAAAUACUGGCGCGCUUUUGUUAACUCGGUGUCUGCGCCAGUAAAGAAGAAGAAGAAUAUUUGUGCUGCUGUACCAAUGAUUUUAGAUUGUAUCACCAUGAGAGCUUGCACGUAUUUAUUGUGUCUUUCGAAAUUUUAAAUGCUAUUCAUUAGUCUGGUAGCCAUUUUUCUCUAUGCUCUGUAUUCGUUUUGGUCACCGUUGAACGUGGUGAGGAUCUUGAAUAUGUUCAGAUCCAUUUCUUCGGGAUUGUUGAGUGUAUAUUUGUAAUCUGGUGCAGGAUGAGGUAUAUUCAGAUAUCAGUUUUCCUGCAUGGAUACUCUCCUUUGUAAAUCUGCUAGUAUAGCCUGUAGUGCUGCUAAAUUUGCUGGAGUUGGCAUCCUUGUAGAUUUCACUUUGUUCCCCUAUGAGGUAACUUUUCCUAUUUAAAGGUUUUGUUUUCACUGUGACUAUGUCUCCUUUCAAUUUUUAUGACCGGCUUACGAAGGAUUUUAUAAACGGAUACUCUUUAUCGCGGUCCCUGCUCGGGCGCCAGUUAAUAUUCUUAUCAAAAUAGAAAUAGAUUUUUUAAGCCCAAGUAAAAGGACUGUUUCUUUAUUGUUGAUGUUUAUUAUUACUAAUGACGUAGGCAGUCUAGUAAUUAAGAACGUUGUUUGCUUGAUUACAAUUCUUAAUAUAGCAUUUACUUAGUCUUACGAAGGAUUUUAUAAACGGAAUUCUUUUUAUCGCGGUCCCUGGUCGGGCGCCUUUUAAUAUUCUUAUCAAAAUAAAAAUAUAUUUUUUAUAAGUAAAAGGACUUUUUUUAUAGUAGGAGGAGAACCAUCAAAAGCUGUAGUGCGGAACUUUAAUCCGCUAAACUCUCACUCCCACGGAACCACCAGAUAAGGUAUUACUUCAUGGGAGUGACAACACACUUUACGUUUUUUACUCUAAAGCAGGGAUGGGCACAUUUUUGCCCGAAAAGUUAGUAAAGUGCGCACGGGGGCUAGAUGAGGGAAAUAUCAGUGUACGGAGGGAAGGGCAUAAGAAGUUGCGAGAAAAAAUCAAUUACAUUCCUCCGCAACUUAAUGUUCAUCGCAGAAUGGUUGCGGCAAUACUGACAUUGUACACAAAUUUAAUAGCGGAAGUUUACUUCAUAUCAGAAUUGUACAGUUGUGUGAACAAAAAGAGGUAAACAUAAUUUGCACGUUUUAGAGAUUCGCAUUAAUAUCUGUUUUAAUUUACCAUUGCAAGCUGGAAAUUCUAAUCACAGUUAGGAAAAAAAUAUAUGUCUAUGUUAUACUUGUACCUAAAAACAAUUUUAUUUAAUAAGAAAACAUCAUAUUUUAAAACUUCACAACACCCUAUGGUUAUUCCUAUUUUGUUCACACCACUAUACAUGUGAUAGAUCAGUUAACGGUGGUGAUGCCAGUUGUAAAAAUUCAUUUUAGUUACAAUUGGGAAAACUUUUCUCAAGUUGUGGGCUUUUAUACGUACAUAUGCAUAUCUGCAUAUAUAAAAAAAAAAGAUACUUGUGACCAUUAUAUACAUAUAUUGUGUUUAAACAUAUUGCUGUUCCAUUUAAUGAAAAUACUUAUAUAAAUAUAUGAUUUGUGAUAUUCUCACUUUGGUUGUUUUAUCAAAAUAUUCAAAGAAUUGAGGUUUUUUCUAUAAUUGUUUUGUUAAACUUGAAAAAUCUAAGUUGCCUCUGGAAAUGUAUUAAAAUAAUAAUAUGCGCUAUAGAAAGGAGGGAACACAUAUUUUCAAAAAUAUAAGAAAUCAUCAAAUAAAAAUAUAUUUGCGCGGUAUGACGUUAUUGAUUGAGAGUGGCUAAGCACACAAAUAGAAUACAGACGCUAAUGGCAGAAAGAUCUUCUCACUUCGCUACGAGCGGCAAGCGUUUUGUUCUCGUUUUCAUUCGAACAAUGUUGCUAUUACUCAAUACGCAUAUGUAGUUUUGUACAUAUCUAAGUUUUCAAUUAUAAUUUUUCAUAAAAUAAAAUAUCAAAACUGAAAUCCAACUAUUAAAACUAGUUUAUACAUUUGUAAAUAAUAGCAUUCGAUUCUGAAUUUGAGUUAUUUUAAGAAAAGUUCAAAUAUAUUGAAGACAAUUUUUAUAAUUACUACAGUAUAUAGAAUAAUAAGUAGGUUAUCUGAUUUAAAUUUUGGUACAACAAUGCGUGUAACUAUAGCAAAUGAGAUUAAACCAAACAAAUAAUUUAUUAUUUCAAAUAAACAAAAUUAAAGGCUGAUAUAAAGACAUAUUAAAAAAAUGAUUACUAAAAUCAAGUAUUUAUUAUACUUUUUGUUAUUUGUCUUACAUUUUAUAAAUUUAUAGUAGUUACAAAGAAACUUAAAAUUGUUAGGCAAUUUUACAGUUAUUACCCACAGUGCAACUUCCCAUAUAUGCGCACGCUUUCAUUUGUAAACAUGGUGUGGGAAAAUACGUUGCUCUCUUUUGUAAAUAUGGAGUGGUAAAAUACGUUGCUCUCACUUCCCUCUUCCUGUUUGCCCGCGAUGAUCCCCUCACCUAGCCCUCAAAAUGUGCACUCGUGCCCGCACGGGCAAAAUGCCAAUGAGGGUUAAUCAGCCCUAUCACGCAAUCCAUCGUACCAAAGCUACGAAUACGAAUGUCCGCUACGAAUACGAACAAUUUGCUAUCAUUGAAUUCAUGUGAAUUCGAAACUUUUGUUGCCAGACUUAAUUUUGAAUUUUGACAUUUCGAAAUCAGCUGUGUAGAAGAAAAAAUAAAAAUUAGGAUUAAUAAAAGUGGAAACGUUUAUAUUCAAAUUGAUUUUACGACCAAAAAAUAUGUAUUCGCUAACGUUUUCAUUUAUGUUGCUUGAGGAAGAACGUGAGAGAAGUCGGCGUGAUAUAAAAAUUCACCGAAAAUCACUGAGGGACAGGAAUAACCCUUUCGAUGUGGACGAAAAAAUGUACAGUUCAUAAAUCCAUAAAAAUUCAUUGUUAAAUUUUAUUAAAAUUAUUUUUCUAAAACAGGUUUAUUAAAAACUAUCGCUUAAAUAAGGCGGCCUUUACGUAUGUCCUCGAUGUUCUAGAGAGGAAUGCAAGUUCUUCAAGAUCGUCGUCUAUAUCUUUACUUCAUCGAUUGUCUUCAGUUUUACGGUUUUUAGCUGAAAGAGGCUAUCAGCAUGGAGUGGAUAUUCCAAUGGCUCAGUCAACAUUUUGUUGCAUCUUAAAAGAAGUAUUGGGAUUGCUUCAGUCUCAUUUGUGCCCUCAGUGGAUAAACCUCGAUUAAAGUGAUGUUGAAAAAAGGGAAGCGAAAAAGGAUUUUUUUCAGAAAUACGGAUUUCCAGGCGCGAUUUUAUGUGUAGACGGGACACAUAUUAAAAUCGUUGCCCCAACUAAAGAUAAGUUUCUCUAUUAUAACCGCAAAGGAUACUUUAGUAUCAUUGCCAUGAUUGUAAGUUUGGUGACAAAUUCGCAUUUCAAACAUCUUAAUCAAUGUUUUGCAGAUAUGUGGCAAUAAAAUGAAAAUACGUUAUGUCAAUGUUCAGUUUCCUGGCAGCAAUCAUGACUCUCACAUAUGGAAAUUUAUUUCUCCGUUAGCACAAACCUGUCGUACAAAAAUUCCGCUAAACUUAAAAAUUUUCCGUUCCCAGUGAAUUCAGUGAACGCAACUCUACGAAUUUCGAACUUACUUUCGGAACUGUUCGAAUUGCAUGAUAGCAGUUUCGUAACUUUCCCGAAAAAACACUCUACGAUGGAUUGCGUGAUAGGGCUGAAUAUGCCCACCCCAGUUCUAAAGCACGGACGGACUGACGCCUAUUCUGUUGUAACUGUCUUAAUUUAGUCAUGAUGGAAGUUGCCGCCUCGCGAACAACUAUCCACUUGUUGGAGGACUGACACAUAAAUGCAGUCAAAUUUUCCACCAUUAGGCUACCAGCUAGUGCAGUUUCUAACUUUUCCCCUUAUGUUUCGAAACCGAGGACAGUGGAAAAACACGUGUUCAGAGUCUUCUCUGGACUCCGCACACAUCGAACAAUACGGACUGACGCCAUUUUGAAAUUUGUAUAGGUAGCCUCUGAAGCACUCAUGUCCGCUUAAUAUUUGAGUCAAGUGGAAGUCCAGGUCUCCAUGUUGUCUAGUUAUCCACAUAUGGAUGUCUGGUAUAAGUCUGUGGGUCCACCGUCCUUUGGUUGAGGUUUGCCACCGUUGCUGCCAUAUAAUUAUGGUCUUUGUUCUCUCCUCUCUUUUUUUGAUUUUUGUAAUUGGCGCUGAUUGCUCAUAUAAUCUUGCGAAUUUGUAUCCCUGGAUGUCUAUGGGCGGCAUACCAGCUAGUACUUCAGCUGCUUCGCUGGAAAUAGUUCGGAAAGUACUUGUUACUCUUAUUGCUGUGAGUCUAUGCACCGCAUUUAUUGAUCUAGCAUACGCUUUAAUGUUUAGAGCCUGUAUCCAUACUGGAGCUGCAUAUAAUAUAAUUGAGCUCAUCGCUUUUGCUAUUAGAAGUCGGCGCUUUGUUGUUUUUGAAUUUUUUGGCUAUGGCCAAUAGUUUUUCUUCAGUAACCAGUGAUUCAGCAGUUUCGUUUCGUUGCUCAGCGUUAGUAAUCGGUUCGUGCGUCGGGAAUAAUGCCUAGACGACUUUCUUCAUGAACGGAGCGCAUUUGGGUUGCUGCCGCUUAUUUUUGAACUUGGAUGCAUAUUUUAUAAGCAGUCCCCCAGGGGUUUAUAUUCGGUUCUCCACAGAUCUUUUCAAAACAGUUCCUUUUGCUACGGGUUAUAGCUGACUUUAAGAGCUUUUGUGGCUUCUAAAAGCUUCUUUUAAACGGUUUUCGUUUUCGCCACUUCGAUUGUGUUGUUGGUGAUGUCGAGCUGCGUGACAGAGUUUUCUCAGCGUGGGAAUUUCUUUAUUCCACCAGUAUACAGGUCUUCGCUUAUCGUGACAUUUCGUCUUUCGGAUUGUAGCAUUUUCGCAAUGCGGUUGCUAAGUGGACGCCGCCUUCGCCUGGUGCUAUUGCUGCACUUCAGGCUGUGUCAAAAAAGUAUAAAAUGUUCGGUGACACCCGAACUUAGCCCUUCCUUACUUGUUGCCUUUCAUGAAAAUGGGAGAUCUUAGCAUGGACGCCUUUAUCUGAAAAGAAUCAGCAAAAUCGAGAACGGCGGUGGUGAAAGGCAGAGCGAAAUUGCAGCGCUUAGGUGGAAGUGCUACCAUAAUCUGCGUUCGCAUUUAAAAAUGGGUUUAGAACUAAGUGAGAGCUCUUAUUAUCAAUCGGCUUCUACUCUCUGAGUAAUGGUAUGUCGCGACUGAAGUAGCGCGUUUGGGUUGAUGCGAUAAGAGCGAUCUUUGCGUUUUGUAAGUCUUGAUGCGUAGUUCCACUUUGUAUUCGGGGGAGUAGUUCACCCACCGUGGAAUUUGUAUCUGCAAGAUGUCUUUCAGAUUACUAGCAAACUGGGACCACUUUUCUAAGCGAAGAGGUUUCACUUGUUUGUCCCAGUCGGUUCCGUCUAGCCAUAAUUCUUGAAUCAGGAUUUUCGCUUGUAUCAUAAUUGGCGAAAGCCAUCCUGCGGGGUCGAAGUUUUGCCAUUGAGGAUAAAAUUUGUCUUUGUUAUGUCGGAUAAUGCGGAUAUGGGCUCUGUCGUGUAUGAAAACUGGUCCGAUAUCGCUUCCAAUGGAUGACCAGUGUUUUUGUUGUACUUUCUUUUUCGAAGAUAAGGAAAUUAGUAUCGAACAAAUUUUCGUUUGGUAUAUUUUUUAAGAUAUUUGGGUGAUUAGCUGUGAUCUUUUUUAUCUUGGGUAACUGUUUUCAAUUUAAAGUCGCGUAGUGGACUAUUGCGAGAUUUUCGGAAAAUAAUUCGCUGAAUAUCUUGAUCAUCUUUAUGUGCGAUUAUUUGUCGAUACAUUUUUUGACAUCUCCCAUUGAAAACGUAUUUGUAUAUCUUCUUCUUUACUGGCGUAGACACCGCUUACGCGAUUAUAGCCGAGUCAACAACAGCGCGCCAGUCGUUUCUUCUCUUCGCUACGUGGCGCCAAUUGGAUAUUCCAAGCGAGGCCAGGUCCUUCUCCACUUGGUCCUUCCAACGGAGUGGAGGUCUUCCUCUUCCUCUGCUUCCCGUGUCGGGUACUGCGUCGAACACUUUCAGAGCUGGAGUGUUUUCAUCCAUCCGGACAACAUGACCUAGCCAGCGUAGCCGCUGUCUUUUAAUUCGCUGAACUAUGUCAAUGUCGUCGUAUAACUCGUACACCUCAUCGUUCCAUCGAAUGCGAUAUUCGCCGUGGCCAACGCGCAAAGGACCAUAAAUCUUUCGCAGAACUUUUCUCUCGAAAACUCGCAACGUCGACUCAUCGGUUGUUGUCAUCGUCCAAGCCUCUGCACCAUAUAGCAGGACGGGAAUUAUGAGCGACUUAUAGAGUUUGGUUUUUGUUCGUCGAGAGAGGACUUUACUUUUCAAUUGCCUACUCAGUCCGAAGUAGCACCUGUUGGCAAGAGUAAUCCUGCGUUGGAUUUCCAGGCUGACAUUGUUGGUGGUGUUAAUGCUGGUUCCUAAAUAGACGAAAUUAUCUACAACUUCAAAGUUAUGACUGUCAACAGUGACGUGAGUGCCAAGUCGCGAGUGCGACGAC
Long non-coding RNA from Bactrocera dorsalis (oriental fruit fly), 14558 nucleotides. RefSeq lists it as uncharacterized. The transcript has 2 exons. The record is from RefSeq and is a predicted model, not a curated record. NCBI's taxonomy places the organism in Eukaryota, Metazoa, Arthropoda, Insecta, Diptera, Tephritidae.